UGGUUCUGGCAUNGAUGAAGAACGCAGCGAAAUGCGAUAAGUAAUGUGAAUUGCAGAAUUCAGUGAAUCAUCGAAUCUUUGAACGCACAUUGCGUCCUUUGGUAUUCCGAGGGACAUGCCUGUUUGAGCGUUGUUUCAAUCUAAGCUAAGGCUUGCUUUGAGUGUAGUCGGUACGACUUACUCGGAAGAUAAUGGCGACGAAGCAUUUCCUUCGAGCAGCGACCAAGCUGGUUUUGAGGGGUUUGUCAGUUUGCCUUGAACCAUAUUUUUUGAGAUCAACCUCAGACAGACAGGAUUACCCGCUGA
Molecule: unclassified non-coding RNA, 306 nt
Filed under: uncultured fungus
Lineage: Eukaryota; Fungi
Description: partial contains 5.8S ribosomal RNA and internal transcribed spacer 2
Rfam family: 5.8S ribosomal RNA (bases 1-133)
Source: RNAcentral